GACGAACGCUGGCGGCGUGCUUAACACAUGCAAGUCGAACGGUGAAGCGAGAGCUUGCUCUCGUGGAUCAGUGGCGAACGGGUGAGUAACACGUGAGCAAUCUGCCCCGGACUCUGGGAUAAGCGCUGGAAACGGCGUCUAAUACCGGAUAUGUCGAGUGACCGCAUGGUCUGCUCGUGGAAAGUUUUUCGGUUCGGGAUGAGCUCGCGGCCUAUCAGCUUGUUGGUGAGGUAAUGGCUCACCAAGGCGACGACGGGUAGCCGGCCGGAGAGGGUGACCGGCCACACUGGGACUGAGACACGGCCAAGACUCCUACGGGAGGCAGCAGUGGGGAAUAUUGCACAAUGGGCGCAAGCCUGAUGCAGCAACGCCGCGUGAGGGAUGACGGCCUUCGGGUUGUAAACCUCUUUUAGCAGGGAAGAAGCGAAAGUGACGGUACCUGCAGAAAAAGCACCGGCUAACUACGUGCCAGCCGCCGCAGUAA
This 484-nucleotide ribosomal RNA is filed under the name uncultured bacterium. Its description in RNAcentral is "partial 16S ribosomal RNA". It matches the Rfam family "Bacterial small subunit ribosomal RNA", at positions 28 to 523 of the family's 1533-position model. The record is from RNAcentral.